GCCAUAUGAUGAUAAGUAGCCACCAGAUUCUGUCUUUGAAAUUCAAACCAGAGUUUUACCAUUGUCUGUAAUCUUGGUUGCUGUGGAGAGUUUCCACACUGACUGUAAGGCCAGACAUACAUUGUUCUGCUGAUUCUUUUUUUCAUCCUCUUAAGAGACCUUAAAGGAUGAUAUAUAAUCAACAUACAGCCUAAGGCAAUUUUUUUUUUUUCAGUUUCUAAAUCUCAAAGAUGGCAUGAAGUCUCUUUAGUAAUCUGAUGGCA
Small nucleolar RNA from Physella acuta, 263 nucleotides. Lineage: Eukaryota; Metazoa; Mollusca; Gastropoda; Physidae. The record is from RefSeq and is a predicted model, not a curated record.